UACGUAGGGUGCAAGCGUUAAUCGGAAUGACUGGGCGUAAAGCGAGCGCAGGCGGUCUGUUAAGACAGUCGUGAAAUCCCCGGGCUUAACCUGGGAAUGGCGAUUGUGACUGGCAAGCUAGAGUGUGUCAGAGGGAGGUGGAAUUCCGCGUGUAGCAGUGAAAUGCGUAGAGAUGCGGAGGAACACCGAUGGCGAAGGCAGCCUCCUGGGAUAACACUGACGCUCAUGCUCGAAAGCGUGGGGAGCAAACAGG
RNAcentral lists this ribosomal RNA (253 nucleotides) under uncultured bacterium. RNAcentral describes it as "partial 16S ribosomal RNA". It matches the Rfam family "Bacterial small subunit ribosomal RNA", at positions 524 to 776 of the family's 1533-position model. The record is from RNAcentral.